Molecule: long non-coding RNA, 495 nt
Filed under: Ananas comosus (pineapple)
Lineage: Eukaryota; Viridiplantae; Streptophyta; Magnoliopsida; Poales; Bromeliaceae
Description: long non-coding RNA (ACOM_LNC019516)
Source: RNAcentral
AAAUUUUAAACUAAAUCUCUUCUUAACAGAAAUUAAAAUUUUGUAUUUAAUUUAAUGUUUAAUUUUUUUAAAAAAAUAAAAUUUAAAUUUAAAAUUAAAAUAUAAAUCUAUAUCUAUAUAUCCUUUGAAUCGGGGAUCCUAAGCGGGUACGGUCGGGCUCUCCGCGUUUCGAAUUUUAAACAACUCAGGUAAAGAAGACAACUCAAAAGAAUUAUCAUUUGAUUCUAUUAAUGUGAUAUAUAAUAAUUUACUGUUGUAUUGUCUUCCCACCGCAUCGCACGGGUCCGUACCUAGUUUUAUCAUUAAACGUAGAAAGUUACUGUUUACAUUGAAACUCUAUUUUUUUUUUUUUUUUUUUUAUAUACCAAUCAACACAUGUCCUAUAUAAGGGGCUGUUUGGCUGCAUGCAAUUGCAACUAUAUUGUAGUUUUAACUAUAUAUAGAUUCAAAUAUAGUGUUUAGUUGAAUGUGCUUGAAUCUAACUGUAAUAAUUGG